Chelmon rostratus (copperband butterflyfish) is the source of this 2461-nucleotide long non-coding RNA. RefSeq lists it as uncharacterized. The transcript is spliced from 3 exons. Lineage: Eukaryota; Metazoa; Chordata; Actinopteri; Chaetodontiformes; Chaetodontidae. The record is from RefSeq and is a predicted model, not a curated record.
CCUGCUUUCUCUCUGAAUAUAUAUAAGGCAACCCUAGCUAAAAAAAGUAAAAUACCAGGAAUCUCGUGUUAAAUGUUUUUUAGAAAAUCACUGCUAACAGCGAUGAGCGCCAAAGUUCUACAGAGGGACAUCUUGUGGCCUGUUUAAGGAGGAACAGCGUCAUGACCUUGGGCUAAAUGACGCACCCAACACGCAGGAGUCCUUCCGCUGCAGCAUCCUGCUGCUCCUGCUGAAGCCAGGUUGAGCCAGUACACCAGCCUACACCCAGCCCACAGCCAGACUCUGCUAUGGUGUCAUUUCCUCCACCUCCUCUGAACCCUCCGGCUUCAGUCCUGAAUUGUCAGGAGGAUUGUGAAGAGCCCACCAGAGAACCAGACUCUGUUGUUUCGUCACCUCCUUCACCUCUCCUCUAAUCAGCACGGAGCAGGACGACCUGACCGUCAGCCAGGAAGAAGCCAAAAUGAAGAGUGAGAGUGGAAACUGAGGCUUGUCUGGCUGGCUCAGAACAACUCUCGGCUGCUGUUUCUGCUUUUAAUACACAGACUGAGGCUCUUGCUCAGCUGGUUUAUUCCUUUCUUUUUUUUUCCUUGUUACUCAUAAAAGUAAAUAAAUAAAUAGCUUGCAUCAGUUUCACUUAUUGUGAAUUAAAGCAACAUAUAAGACAUUUUCAAACAGGAAGUGUAAGUUGCAUUCACCGUAUGUUACAGUACAGUACAAGCUUGGUCCUUAUGAAGGCCAGACAUAAAAUCAAAUAAAACAACCAGAUACUGGAGUUAUGAGACAGUGUUGAUAUUUGAGAGUUCUAAAUGUACAAUAAUGAUAGAUGCACACAUAACCUAAACAUUUUUGACCGUGUGUACUGAGUAGGGCAUUUUAGUAUCUAAAAAGAAAUGUGUCAAUCCUCUCUAGUGGACAAACUAUGUAACAGCAACACUGUUUCUAAGUGAUCUUGAAUGUGUCUCUGUACAUUUCUGUACUGCAGUGUCUCACUGACCUGACAGCUAACACAUACUCGAUAUCAGUUUGUCAGUCUAGCUCUAAUUUAAUAGACCAAAAAACAAAACAAAUGAGCUGGAGCAGGUGCAGGGACAUGGUUUGUAAAAUAAAGCUUUUACUGUAUCCGCAUACUGACUAGUUUUAUCUUCCUGCUUUCAAACAUAAGCAAAGUGGAAAAACACAGCUGUUGAGGCGUUUUAUGAUUUUACAUUACAGCAGUGCCAAUGCACAGCCAAAGAGCUCAGGUGACGUUGAUCAUUAUUCUGAUCAUUCCCUUUCAGUUCACGGUGGUUGGAAAAAGCAUUCAUGUAAUUGGUAUGUUUGUUUGCUGGCUAUGGCAUCCUGUUGAAAGCCUUUUUAACUGUCACACAUCAUGAGUCACUGACUGCUGCAGUACAAGUUGAUGCAUGACAACUCCUGCUCAUCACAUGACUCCUGACAGCUGCAGUAUGCUGCUUUGUGAACCCAAGAGGAGGAAGUCCUUCAGGAAGACUUCAAAAUGAUUUUUUUCCAUCAUCAGAAACAUAUGAAACAAGAUCCUAAACAGUGUCUUCAUAUUUCUGGUGAAAAUCAGACAUUUAUUGUAAAUGCAUCCCACCACUAGCAGACAAAAGAUUUGUCCAACACGAGAACAACAUGUAUUGUUUAGUUUAAUUUGUACAGAAAAAGAAAUGUAGAGGGGAGUUAAGACUUGUAGCUUUCUCUUGGCAAACAGCUGACUUCUCUCGAGACUGCAGGAAGUCACUGCACCCAGCAAGGAAAUACUUACAACAUGCGACACAUGCGGUGUGUAAGUUUGGACAGAGCCACACAAGCUAUCUAAUGCAGUCUUUAUGCUAAGCCAAGCUAACCACCUGGCUCUAGCGUCAUAGCAACUGCACAGACAUGAUAGUGGUAUGGAGCUUCUCUUGAACUCUCAACAAGAGCACCAAUAAGCCUAAUUUUCAAAAUGUGGAGCUCUUCCAGACAAAUACUAUGGACCCAGAGGUGCAUGAUACAUCACCAAGAGUUAUGUGACAACAGUGUUUCCAUGUUGUGAAAUGGAUUUCUCCUUGAAGCAGUAUUUUUUUGUUGCAAAUUAAACCUUACUUGUGUUCAUCAAAGCGUCAGUGGGUAUGUUUCCCCUGAAAUACAGAGCAAAGUGAGAAUCGUAUGACAAUAAUCUAUCAUAGAGGGAAGUGUGGGAAAUACUGAACACAUGUCCAAACAGUGUCUAUUCAUUCAUAAUCAAUAUUGAGCGAUUACAUUUACUAUCACCAUAAUUACAUAUUUUUUUAAUAUUCUCUGGGGUUUUUUUGUAACGUGAAGUCUAUGAUGGUAACAGGCUCAGACCUGUUUGAUGCUGUGAGUGUGCCCUUGAAUACAACGGUGUCUUGUACCGAGGAGUGUGGGAGUGUGUUUCAUAUCUGCUGCAGUGACGAUAUCACUUGUUGGCGAAGACAGACACUAAUAAAUUUCAUUUUAC